Ochotona princeps (American pika) is the source of this 1096-nucleotide long non-coding RNA. RefSeq lists it as uncharacterized. The record is from RefSeq and is a predicted model, not a curated record. The transcript has 4 exons. Lineage: Eukaryota; Metazoa; Chordata; Mammalia; Lagomorpha; Ochotonidae.
CUAGUUCAUUCCUGGAUAAUAUGAUGUCCUUGUUUUUCCUUCCCCAGACUUUACCACAUGAAAUGAUGCAUCACUUCACAGUCAAAUGCAGUUCUUGAACUUCCUUUAGAAGCAUGCGUAGUGGUGCUCUAUGGAAUGGAAAAAGAAAAAAAGAAAAAUAGAAAAAAGAUAUAAUGUAUCAGACAUGUCUCAAAGAAGAUAAACCGAUUCCUGGAAACUCACUUGCUCCAAUACAGAGCCCUGUGUGGAUUCACAGAAGAUCUGUGUUUCGUAGGCAGGUUUCUGAGAAACAGAAAUUUGUUGAUAUGGACACAAGGUGGAGACUGAGAACCUGGAAGUGCGGCCUUUCUACAAGUUCCUGCUAGAUUCUAGCUGACUCUGUAUGGACUGCAGGUUCCAUGUCAAAUCAUCUUCUUGUUCAAGAAAAGUCAAGAAUCUGCAAAACUUCUCCACACAUAUGCACCAAGGAAAAGCUGUGUGAGUGUACAAGAAAUGAGUAUGUAAAAGUCAGAACAUAGGCCGUCACCAGAAACUCAGUCUAUCAGGUCUUGAACUUGGACAUCCCAGCAUCUAAAACUGUGAGACCAAAUGCUGUUACUCAGCCUGAGUAUCCUUGGUAUUUUAUACAAUAACUGCAUUUGACUAAGACAGUCUAUACCAGAUUGCAUGGAGUGAUCACACCAAUUCUGAAAGUUUAAGAUACUAAACUAUGUUGUUUGAAUGUGGAAAAUCAAAACUAAAGAAGCUAGAAAUCAAGAACAAGUCUGUGAGACAUCAGAAGAAAAGAAUCAUGUCACCCAGUGAACUGGCCAUGCAGACAAUUCAGUCUCUCCUUCAAAGGGAAAAACUCCACAACUCUGGAUCCUGGGGCUAUAUGGAGGACAGCCUGUAUGGAAGGAACCAUGUCAUUCAUUCAUGAUCAGAGACAGUGUUUCUGAGAAAACCUAGCAUAGAACUACGCAAGUGAGAUUUAUCUGGUGGGAGUGAAGGCAGACCCUAGAAUCCUGCCUGAAUGGUUUCAACUAGCUGCCAGCCCUCCAUCAGCUUCAUCUUACUGAUCUGAUUUGCCAGCACCCUGGGAAACUCCAGGAGAAAA